GGUGGAGCUCAGGGGCCCUCUUGGAGCAGCCAUGCAGAGCUAUUGGUGGCCCUGUUGCGCCUCAGGAUGGACCCUGAAACCUGCGCUUUGGCCGAGGAUCUUGAGGUCAGCAUCUCCUCUGUGCACCCCUGCCCCAAUUUUUCAUUGUGGUUACAUCAGUUCUGUGUGCGCUCAGCUGGGCCUUGUUUGCCCUGACAUGAGCUGAUAGCAUGGUGCUUGUGGCGCGCAGUCGGCAAUGGAUGCAGCGCUGCAGGCGUUUGGCGAGAGCACCUGGCAGCGCAAGUUUGUCACUCUGGCAGAGCAGGCCUCGCAGGUGGGAUCCGCUCGGCUCAUUCCCACCACUCUUCACGCAUCACUGCAGCUUCCAUUGAUGAUAUUUUGUCAGAGGAGCGGCAUUGGUCUCUGUGGUGAGGCAUUUUGAAGCUGACUUCUACAUCUACUGGCAUAGGUGGGGGUCAGCCACAGGGGUCACUUGGAGGCAAUCGGGCGAAUCCCCACCCACUCACUGCGCGGCCGGGUGCUGCGUCAGCACGCUCUGGUGGCUC
RNAcentral lists this long non-coding RNA (545 nucleotides) under Coccomyxa subellipsoidea. Its description in RNAcentral is "long non-coding RNA (CSUB_LNC000496)". Lineage: Eukaryota; Viridiplantae; Chlorophyta; Trebouxiophyceae; Coccomyxaceae. The record is from RNAcentral.